GACGAACGCUGGCGGCGUGCUUAACACAUGCAAGUCGAACGGAAAGGCCCUGCUUUUGUGGGGUGCUCGAGUGGCGAACGGGUGAGUAACACGUGAGUAACCUGCCCUUGACUUUGGGAUAACUUCAGGAAACUGGGGCUAAUACCGGAUAGGAGCUCCUGCUGCAUGGUGGGGGUUGGAAAGUUUCGGCGGUUGGGGAUGGACUCGCGGCUUAUUAGCUUGUUGGUGGGGUAGUGGAUUACCAAGGCUUUGACGGGUAGCCGGCCUGAGAGGGUGACCGGCCACAUUGGGACUGAGAUACGGCCCAGACUCGUACGGGAGGCAGCAGUGGGGAAUAUUGCACAAUGGGCGGAAGCCUGAUGCAGCAACGCCGCGUGCGGGAUGACGGCCUUCGGGUUGUAAACCGCUUUCGCCUGUGACGAAGCGUGAGUGACGGUAAUGGGUAAAGAAGCACCGGCUAACUACGUG
RNAcentral lists this ribosomal RNA (468 nucleotides) under uncultured bacterium. RNAcentral's name for it is "partial 16S ribosomal RNA". It matches the Rfam family "Bacterial small subunit ribosomal RNA", at positions 28 to 507 of the family's 1533-position model. The record is from RNAcentral.